GAUGAACGCUGGCGGCGUGCUUAACACAUGCAAGUCGAACGGUGAAGCCAAGCUUGCUUGGUGGAUCAGUGGCGAACGGGUGAGUAACACGUGAGCAACCUGCCCUGGACUCUGGGAUAAGCGCUGGAAACGGCGUCUAAUACUGGAUAUGAGACGUGAUCGCAUGGUCGUGUUUGGAAAGAUUUUUCGGUCUGGGAUGGGCUCGCGGCCUAUCAGCUUGUUGGUGAGGUAAUGGCUCACCAAGGCGU
This 248-nucleotide ribosomal RNA is filed under the name uncultured Actinomycetes bacterium. RNAcentral describes it as "uncultured actinobacterium partial 16S ribosomal RNA". It matches the Rfam family "Bacterial small subunit ribosomal RNA", at positions 28 to 276 of the family's 1533-position model. The record is from RNAcentral. Lineage: Bacteria; Bacillati; Actinomycetota; Actinomycetes.